This is a long non-coding RNA of Dicentrarchus labrax (European seabass), 542 nucleotides long. RefSeq lists it as uncharacterized. The record is from RefSeq and is a predicted model, not a curated record. The transcript has 3 exons. NCBI's taxonomy places the organism in Eukaryota, Metazoa, Chordata, Actinopteri, Moronidae.
AUUGUUGUUCCAAACUUUCCUAAAAAUGGGAUUAAAGUUACAAUAUUCCUCCUUUUAGUAGUACUAGUUGUACUUCAGUAGGUGGCGGUAAGGCACAUAAAGGCAACACUGCCGAUAAUUCAGAGGAAGAACAAGACGAAGACUAGAAGGAGGAGGUGGGUUAGUGGCACGCUGGGUGUCUCCAAGAAAGUCUUAUUCUUGGAGACAUGAACAGUCUUAUUUUUAGUGAUAUUAAGUAUUAAAAAAAAUGCAACUUUUAUGCAUUUUAGAUCAAUUUAGCGAGCUCUUUCUUCUCUUUUGAGCAUGAUUUUUAAACGAGGUUUUGUACAGUAACGUUAGCUGAAUCGUGCCACCGCCUUGUCCGGUAAUUAGGUCAGCUGAAGGAAAGGUUCCAGUGAAAGUAGCAGAGUGGACCUGGAUGUGCAUGGUCGACCUGCGGAAGUGAAGCCAGUUCAGGUGAACUACAUCUACCUUAAGCUCUCGACUGGUUUGUCUUUGUUCUAAGUUAUUCAUUGCCAAAUAAAUACAAAUUGUCAAGCAAA